This is a long non-coding RNA of Pocillopora damicornis (cauliflower coral), 474 nucleotides long. RefSeq lists it as uncharacterized. The record is from RefSeq and is a predicted model, not a curated record. NCBI's taxonomy places the organism in Eukaryota, Metazoa, Cnidaria, Anthozoa, Scleractinia, Pocilloporidae.
UUCGUAGCUAAAUGUAAUUGAUUUAAUUUUUGCGUCUAAGAUAUCUUGAUUGAGCUGCCAAACGCAGUAGGAGGGUCAUAAAUCUUAAUCUGCUUUCCAUCUCACAGGCUUUGGGUGAUAACCUGUCUCCUUUUUUCCGCAAAUAUUUCCUAGAAGAGAAUAUUUGCACGUUUCUGAUGAAGCCGGCGCAGCAGGAAGUGUGAGAUAAAUGUUGGUGUCAUACGUGUGGAUAAAAACAUCUCAGUGAGACAGAGUCUUCAUCUGAUUGGCUAAUCAUACCCUAAUAACAGGCCAGCUUUGACAACACAGGCCAGAGUCUGACAUUGUUUUUCUGUGCCAUUUGGAUCAAAGUGGAAAAAGGAAACCAAAGGCAAGAAAACAAAAUGAAGUGAUUAACAAGAACAAGCAGCAACAAUAAGCUCUGAUUUGCCAUAAGGGAGGAGUCACCUUCACUUGUGCCUUGAGAGCCAAACC